RNAcentral lists this ribosomal RNA (465 nucleotides) under uncultured Klebsiella sp. RNAcentral describes it as "bacterial SSU rRNA". It matches the Rfam family "Bacterial small subunit ribosomal RNA", at positions 338 to 795 of the family's 1533-position model. Lineage: Bacteria; Pseudomonadati; Pseudomonadota; Gammaproteobacteria; Enterobacterales; Enterobacteriaceae. The record is from RNAcentral.
CCUACGGGCGGCAGCAGUGGGGAAUAUUGCACAAUGGGCGCAAGCCUGAUGCAGCCAUGCCGCGUGUGUGAAGAAGGCCUUCGGGUUGUAAAGCACUUUCAGCGGGGAGGAAGGCGGUGAGGUUAAUAACCUCAUCGAUUGACGUUACCCGCAGAAGAAGCACCGGCUAACUCCGUGCCAGCAGCCGCGGUAAUACGGAGGGUGCAAGCGUUAAUCGGAAUUACUGGGCGUAAAGCGCACGCAGGCGGUCUGUCAAGUCGGAUGUGAAAUCCCCGGGCUCAACCUGGGAACUGCAUUCGAAAGUGGCAGGCUAGAGUCUUGUGGAGGGGUGUAGAAUUCCAGGUGUAGCGGUGAAAUGCGUAGAGAUCUGGAGGAAUACCGGUGGCGAAGGCGGCCCCCUGGACAAAGACUGACGCUCAGGUGCGAAAGCGUGGGGAGCAAACAGGAUUAGAUAGCGCUGUAGUG